RNAcentral lists this long non-coding RNA (593 nucleotides) under Heterocephalus glaber (naked mole-rat). RNAcentral's name for it is "lncRNA (ENSHGLG00100035520.1)". Lineage: Eukaryota; Metazoa; Chordata; Mammalia; Rodentia; Bathyergidae. The record is from RNAcentral.
AAGUAAUUGUGAAAGUGUUCUUAAUUACUGAAAAUAAGCAAGCCUCCUUGGACAGUCUGCUAACUGAGGUGUUCCAGAGAAGAUAGUGAAAUAGACUUAACUUCAGCCAGGAGAUGUUGGGAUGUCCAGGCACUGGUAUGCAAACACGUGUGGAGCACAGAUGGGGCCUGAGGGAGCACGCUGCUCACCUCAAAGUUGGAAAGCAAGGGGCAGGUAAAGGUGCUGACGGUGGCCAGGCAUGAAGUGCUGCAGCAGGAGAGGGGACAGGUGACAGUGCCCUCCAGCAAUGAAGAAGUCCAUCUGCCACUAACUAGUGAUGCCAUGGAGCAGAGGCUGCCCGGUGACAUGUGCUUGGGGAAAGAGGUCGGAGCAGAAGAAACAGGAAGUGCAAAGGCCCUGAGGCAGCAGAGAGUGAGUGAAAGGUGACAAAUGGGAGGGUAGGCUAACAGAAUGGGAUGGAGGGACACGUGGCCUGGCCACCACACCCAGCUUCCCCCUGGAGACUGGAGGAGAAGAGACGAGGUGGGGAGGGACGAGAGGCAGGGACAAGAGGCGGGCAGGGCCAGUGAGGAGUCUUCUAACUAUGCUGCCAG